This 500-nucleotide ribosomal RNA is filed under the name uncultured bacterium. Its description in RNAcentral is "partial 16S ribosomal RNA". It matches the Rfam family "Bacterial small subunit ribosomal RNA", at positions 30 to 523 of the family's 1533-position model. The record is from RNAcentral.
AUUGAACGCUGGCGGAAUGCUUUACACAUGCAAGUCGAACGAUGAACCUUAGCUUGCUAAGGGGAUUAGUGGCGAACGGGUGAGUAAUAUAUCGGAACGUACCUUGUAAUGGGGGAUAACUAGUCGAAAGAUUAGCUAAUACUGCAUACGCCCUGAGGGGGAAAGUAGGGGAUCUUCGGACCUUACGUUAUAAGAGCGGCCGAUAUCUGAUUAGCUAGUUGGUGGGGUAAUGGCCUACCAAGGCGACGAUCAGUAGCUGGUCUGAGAGGACGACCAGCAACACUGUAACUGACACACGGUCCAGACUCCUACGGGAGGCAGCAGUGGGGAAUUUUGGCCAAUGGGCGCAAGCCUGAUCCAGCCAUUCCGCGUGAGUGAAGAAGGCCUUCGGGUUGUAAAGCUCUUUCGCAAGGGAAGAAAACUUACAUUCUAAUAAAGUGUGAGGCUGACGGUACCUUGAUAAGAAGCACCGGCUAACUACGUGCCAGCCGCCGCGGUAA